AGCGAACGCUGGCGGCAGGCCUAACACAUGCAAGUCGAACGAACUCUUCGGAGUUAGUGGCGGACGGGUGAGUAACACGUGGGAACGUGCCUUUAGGUUCGGAAUAACCCAGGGAAACUUGAGCUAAUACCGGAUGUGCCCUUCGGGGGAAAGAUUUAUCGCCUUUAGAGCGGCCCGCGUCUGAUUAGCUAGUUGGUGAGGUAAAGGCUCACCAAGGCGACGAUCAGUAGCUGGUCUGAGAGGAUGACCAGCCACAUUGGGACUGAGACACGGCCCAAACUCCUACGGGAGGCAGCAGUGGGGAAUCUUGCGCAAUGGGCGAAAGCCUGACGCAGCCAUGCCGCGUGAAUGAUGAAGGUCUUAGGAUUGUAAAAUUCUUUCACCGGGGACGAUAAUGACGGUACCCGGAGAAGAAGCCCCGGCUAACUUCGUGCCAGCCGCCGCCGUAA
This 449-nucleotide ribosomal RNA is filed under the name uncultured bacterium. Its description in RNAcentral is "partial 16S ribosomal RNA". It matches the Rfam family "Bacterial small subunit ribosomal RNA", at positions 29 to 523 of the family's 1533-position model. The record is from RNAcentral.